RNAcentral lists this ribosomal RNA (447 nucleotides) under uncultured bacterium. RNAcentral's name for it is "bacterial SSU rRNA". It matches the Rfam family "Bacterial small subunit ribosomal RNA", at positions 355 to 825 of the family's 1533-position model. The record is from RNAcentral.
UGGGGAAUCUUGGACAAUGGGCGCAAGCCUGAUCCAGCCAUGCCGCGUGAGUGACGAAGGCCUUAGGGUUGUAAAGCUCUUUCGGCGGGGAAGAUAAUGACGGUACCCGCAGAAGAAGCCCCGGCUAACUCUGUGCCAGCAGCCGCGGUAAUACAGAGGGGGCAAGCGUUGUUCGGAAUCACUGGGCGUAAAGCGCACGUAGGUGGAUAGUUAAGUUCGGGGUGAAAUCCCAGGGCUCAACCCUGGAACUGCCUCGGAUACUGGCUAUCUCGAGUCCGGAAGAGGUGAGUGGAAUUCCUAGUGUAGAGGUGAAAUUCGUAGAUAUUAGGAAGAACACCGGUGGCGAAGGCGGCUCACUGGUCCGGUACUGACACUGAGGUGCGAAAGCGUGGGGAGCAAACAGGAUUAGAUACCCCCGUAGUCCCUGAGCGGGCUGGCAAGGCGCAU